CAGCCGCCACGGUAAUACGUAGGUGGCAAGCGUUGUCCGGAAUUAUUGGGCGUAAAGGGCUCGCAGGCGGUUUCUUAAGUCUGAUGUGAAAGCCCCCGGCUCAACCGGGGAGGGUCAUUGGAAACUGGGAAACUUGAGUGCAGAGGAGGAGAGUGGAAUUCCACGUGUAGCGGUGGAAUGCGUAGAGAUGUGGAGGAACACCAGUGGCGAAGGCGACUCUCUGGUCUGUAACUGACGCUGAGGAGCGAAAGCGUGGGGAGCGAACAGGAUUAGAUACCCGCGUAGUCCCUGUCUCUUAUAC
This 301-nucleotide ribosomal RNA is filed under the name uncultured bacterium. RNAcentral describes it as "partial 16S ribosomal RNA". It matches the Rfam family "Bacterial small subunit ribosomal RNA", at positions 509 to 807 of the family's 1533-position model. The record is from RNAcentral.